RNAcentral lists this ribosomal RNA (468 nucleotides) under uncultured bacterium. RNAcentral's name for it is "partial 16S ribosomal RNA". It matches the Rfam family "Bacterial small subunit ribosomal RNA", at positions 28 to 507 of the family's 1533-position model. The record is from RNAcentral.
GACGAACGCUGGCGGCGUGCUUAACACAUGCAAGUCGAACGGAAAGGCCCUGCUUUUGUGGUUUGCUCGAGUGGCGAACGGGUGAGUAACACGUGAGUAACCUGCCCUUGACUUUGGGAUAACUUCAGGAAACUGGGGCUCAUACCGGAUAGGAGCUCCUGCUGCAUGGUGGGGGUUGGAAAGUUUCGGCGGUUGGGGAUGGACUCGCGGCUUAUCAGCUUGUUGGUGGGGUAGUGGCUUACCAAGGCUUUGACGGGUAGCCGGCCUGAGAGGGUGAACGGCCACAUUGGGACUGAGAUACGGCCCAGACUCCUACGGGAGGCAGUAGUGGGGAAUAUGGCACAAUGGGCGGAAGCCUGAUGCAGCAACGCCGCGUGCGGGAUGACGGCCUUCGGGUUGUAAACCGCUGUCGCCUGUGACGAAGCGUGAGUGACGGUAAUGGGUAAAGAAGCACCGGCUAACUACGUG